UAUGUCCUACGGGACGCAGCAGUGGGGGAUAUUGCACAAUGGGGGGAACCCUGAUGCAGCGACGCCGCGUGGGUGAAGAAGCGCCUCGGCGCGUAAAGCCCUGUCAGCAGGGAAGAAAAUGACGGUACCUGAAGAAGAAGCCCCGGCUAACUACGUGCCAGCAGCCGCGGUAAUACGUAGGGGGCAAGCGUUAUCCGGAUUUACUGGGUGUAAAGGGGGCGCAGACGGCGAUGCAAGCCAGGAGUGAAAGCCCGGGGCCCAACCCUGGGACUGCAUUGGAAACUGUAUUGCUUGAGUACCGGAGA
Molecule: ribosomal RNA, 305 nt
Filed under: uncultured bacterium
Lineage: Bacteria
Description: bacterial SSU rRNA
Rfam family: Bacterial small subunit ribosomal RNA
Source: RNAcentral